RNAcentral lists this ribosomal RNA (504 nucleotides) under uncultured bacterium. Its description in RNAcentral is "bacterial SSU rRNA". It matches the Rfam family "Bacterial small subunit ribosomal RNA", at positions 30 to 525 of the family's 1533-position model. The record is from RNAcentral.
AUUGAACGCUGGCGGCAGGCCUAACACAUGCAAGUCGAACGGUAGCACAGAGAGCUUGCUCUCGGGUGACGAGCGGCGGACGGGUGAGUAAUGUCUGGGAAACUGCCCGAUGGAGGGGGAUAACUACUGGAAACGGUAGCUAAUACCGCAUAACGUCUUCGGACCAAAGAGGGGGACCUUCGGGCCUCUUGCCAUCGGAUGUGCCCAGAUGGGAUUAGCUAGUAGGUGGGGUAAUGGCUCACCUAGGCGACGAUCCCUAGCUGGUCUGAGAGGAUGACCAGCCACACUGGAACUGAGACACGGUCCAGACUCCUACGGGAGGCAGCAGUGGGGAAUAUUGCACAAUGGGCGCAAGCCUGAUGCAGCCAUGCCGCGUGUAUGAAGAAGGCCUUCGGGUUGUAAAGUACUUUCAGCGAGGAGGAAGGCAUUAAGGUUAAUAACCUUGGUGAUUGACGUUACUCGCAGAAGAAGCACCGGCUAACUCCGUGCCACCGCCGCGUAAAC